AUUGAACGCUGGCGGCAUGCUUUACACAUGCAAGUCGAACGGUAACAGCACUUCGGUGGCUGACGAGUGGCGAACGGGUGAGUAAUACAUCGGAACGUGCCUAGUAGUGGGGGAUAACUACUCGAAAGAGUAGCUAAUACCGCAUGAGAUCUAAGGAUGAAAGCAGGGGACCUUCGGGCCUUGCGCUACUAGAGCGGCUGAUGGCAGAUUAGGUAGUUGGUGGGAUAAAAGCUUACCGAGCCGACGAUCUGUAGCUGGUCUGAGAGGACGACCAGCCACACUGGGACUGAGACACGGCCCAGACUCCUACGGGAGGCAGCAGUGGGGAAUUUUGGACAAUGGGCGCAAGCCUGAUCCAGCAAUGCCGCGUGCAGGAUGAAGGCCUUCGGGUUGUAAACUGCUUUUGUACGGAACGAAAAGCCCUCUUCUAAUACAGGAGGGUCAUGACGGUACCGUAAGAAUAAGCACCGGCUAACUACGUG
Molecule: ribosomal RNA, 482 nt
Filed under: uncultured bacterium
Lineage: Bacteria
Description: partial 16S ribosomal RNA
Rfam family: Bacterial small subunit ribosomal RNA
Source: RNAcentral